GCAGCAUUAAGAUUACUAAGUAACAAAGCAACUACUGCUGCUAUCAUCCCACGGUCUUCUGUGUUUUGCCUUUAAAAGCAAAAAUAUUAAGGAUUAUUAAGACAACUCUUCUUCUGUAACUUACUGGAAGAAUGAGGCCAAUAUUCUGUAUGACUGUGCUACUUCAAUACCAGAAAUCAACUAACACCAUGCAACCAAUGCAUUGGCAGAUACACAGAAGAAUCUGUAACACUACCACGUAAAUGUAUUGAGUAAAUAAAACAUAAAUAUACCUAAUGAAAACUCGUUUGUGUUUUUCUGAGAAAGCUCAUAUUUAUUUCACCUAACUUACUGACCAAUCAACUGAUGUACCAAUUAAUUGUCAGGAUGAAAUUAUAGUCAAACCAGUUUGCUAUAUUUACAAAUACAUACAUAUGAUCCACCUCAGAGUCCAGAGGGCUAUUUCACUGAGGAAUCCCCACCCACUUCAAUCACUUCAGUAAAAUUCCCUAGAUAUCUUGCUCUCUCAUAAAU
Long non-coding RNA from Sapajus apella (tufted capuchin), 513 nucleotides. RefSeq lists it as uncharacterized. The transcript has 2 exons. The record is from RefSeq and is a predicted model, not a curated record. NCBI's taxonomy places the organism in Eukaryota, Metazoa, Chordata, Mammalia, Primates, Cebidae.